GGAAUAUUGGACAAUGGGCGAAAGCCUGAUCCAGCCACGCCGCGUGAGUGAUGAAGGCCCUCGGGUCGUAAAGCUCUGUGGGGAGGGACGAACCCUCUGGAGUGAAUAGCUCUGGCGCUGACGGUACCUCCUUAGCAAGCACCGGCUAACUCCGUGCCAGCAGCCGCGGUAAUACGGCGGGUGCAAACGUUGCUCGGAAUCAUUGGGCGUAAAGCGCACGUAGGCGGUCCGUUAAGUCGGAUGUGAAAGCCCUCGGCUCAACCGAGGAAGUGCAUUCGAAACUGGCGGACUUGAGUACGGGAGGGGGCUGCGGAAUUCCCGGUGUAGAGGUGAAAUUCGUAGAUAUCGGGAGGAACACCAGUGGCGAAGGCGGCAGCCUGGACCGAUACUGACGCUGAGGUGCGAAAGCGUGGGGAGCAAAC
RNAcentral lists this ribosomal RNA (422 nucleotides) under uncultured bacterium. Its description in RNAcentral is "bacterial SSU rRNA". It matches the Rfam family "Bacterial small subunit ribosomal RNA", at positions 358 to 773 of the family's 1533-position model. The record is from RNAcentral.